CAGGACGAACGCUGGCGGCGUGCCUAAUACAUGCAAGUCGAACGGUCUUUCUAUGGAAGCUUGCUUCCACUGAGAAGAUAGUGGCGAACGGGUGAGUAACACGUGGGUAACCUGCCCAUAAGAGGGGGGAUAACAUCCGGAAACGGGUGCUAAUACCGCAUAGUUUUCUUGAUCGCAUGAUCGGGAAGGAAAGACGGCCUUUGUGCUGUCGCUUAUGGAUGGACCCGCGGCGUAUUAGUUAGUUGGUGAGGUAACGGCUCACCAAGACGAUGAUACGUAGCCGACCUGAGAGGGUGAUCGGCCACAUUGGGACUGAGACACGGCCCAAACUCCUACGGGAGGCAGCAGUAGGGAAUCUUCCGCAAUGGACGAAAGUCUGACGGAGCAACGCCGCGUGAGUGAAGAAAGGUUUUCGGAUCGUAAAACUCUGUUGUCAGAGAAGAACAAGUUGGAGAGUAACUGCUCCAGCCUUGACGGUAUCUGACCAGAAAGCCACGGCUAACUACGUGCCAGCCGCCGC
This 520-nucleotide ribosomal RNA is filed under the name uncultured bacterium. RNAcentral's name for it is "bacterial SSU rRNA". It matches the Rfam family "Bacterial small subunit ribosomal RNA", at positions 25 to 518 of the family's 1533-position model. The record is from RNAcentral.